This 322-nucleotide long non-coding RNA is filed under the name Citrus maxima (pomelo). RNAcentral describes it as "long non-coding RNA (CMAX_LNC001961)". Lineage: Eukaryota; Viridiplantae; Streptophyta; Magnoliopsida; Sapindales; Rutaceae. The record is from RNAcentral.
UGGCCUCUCCGUCUCCGUCACCCUCCGUCUGUCCUUCUUCGUAAUAAUAGAAUGUAUACUUCGACCCCUCUGUCACCCCGUCGACGUCGUUAGCUGGCGGAAGAGCUGGAAUGGGACAGGGAGGUGCAGCCUCAGCGGAGGAGGUAUUGGCUGGCGGCUGGGCCAGCUGGGACCCACUUGUAUUUCGAUCAAUAAGAGGUUGUUGGUGGUCGGGCUUGUCCGAAAACGAGGUGGUUCUGAUCCUCCAAAAGCUGAUGGCGGCUGUUAUAACGGCGACCCACGCCCACAGAUUAUUGACGACGGUGAAAACACCGAAGGUGGC